UGGGGAAUUUUGGACAAUGGGGGCAACCCUGAUCCAGCCAUUCCGCGUGAGUGAAGAAGGCCUUCGGGUUGUAAAGCUCUUUCAGCAGGAACGAAACGGUCGGCUUUAAUAAAGUCGGCUAAUGACGGUACCUGCAGAAGAAGCACCGGCUAACUACGUGCCAGCAGCCGCGGUAAUACGUAGGGUGCGAGCGUUAAUCGGAAUUACUGGGCGUAAAGCGUGCGCAGGCGGCGACAUAAGACAGAUGUGAAAUCCCCGGGCUCAACCUGGGAACUGCGUUUGUGACUGUGUUGCUAGAGUGUAGCAGAGGGGGGUGGAAUUCCACGUGUAGCAGUGAAAUGCGUAGAGAUGUGGAGGAACACCGAUGGCGAAGGCAGCCCCCUGGGUUAACACUGACGCUCAUGCACGAAAGCGUGGGGAGCAAACAGGAUUAGAUACCCAGGUAGUCCCUGAGCGGGCUGGCAAGGCGCAU
RNAcentral lists this ribosomal RNA (472 nucleotides) under uncultured bacterium. RNAcentral's name for it is "bacterial SSU rRNA". It matches the Rfam family "Bacterial small subunit ribosomal RNA", at positions 355 to 825 of the family's 1533-position model. The record is from RNAcentral.